RNAcentral lists this ribosomal RNA (333 nucleotides) under Brachistosternus weijenberghii. Its description in RNAcentral is "partial 12S small subunit ribosomal RNA". Lineage: Eukaryota; Metazoa; Arthropoda; Arachnida; Scorpiones; Bothriuridae. The record is from RNAcentral.
UAAAAAAUUAUUUAUUUUAGGUAGUAACAGAUUUCUUGAAACCUAAAGAAUUUGGCGGUAUUUUAAAUAAUUAGAGGAACCUGUUAAAUAAAUGAUAAUCCACAACAUAUCUUACCAUAAUUAAGUUUGUAUACCGUUGUUUUUAGAUUAUAUUUAAAAAUUAUGAUCAAAAUUAAUUAGUUUCUAUAAAUCAAAUCAAGGUGCAGCAUAUUAGGGUUUUAAUGGGUUACAAUAUAUUUAUAUAUACGAAUAAAUUAUGAAAAUAUUUUUGAAGGUGGAUUUAAAAGUAAUUUAAAAUUAAAAAGUUUAAAUGAAUAAAAAUUUAAAAUAUGU